Molecule: unclassified non-coding RNA, 231 nt
Filed under: Lingula anatina
Lineage: Eukaryota; Metazoa; Brachiopoda; Lingulata; Lingulida; Lingulidae
Description: carbohydrate sulfotransferase 11, transcript variant X3
Source: RNAcentral
UUAUGCGUGAUACUACUCACCUUAAGGUUGAGGAAAAGGUAGAUCAGCUCGAGGCGACUACGAUACCUAUACAAGAUAUAAUGGCAAUGAUGGGAAAUGGACAGAGUGAAAAUGACCAGAGCGAAUUGGAUGAUGACGUAAUUCCCGAAGAAUGGCUUGAGGAAAUACGAAGAAGAAAGAAACUUGUGUCCGAGGCAUGCGAGAAGUUUAAAACUGUAAAAAUACCUCUGA